CAGUGCCCAUGAAUUUAAAUGCUAUGCUAAUAGGUCCAUUAAACAAGUGAUUAUUAUGCACUGGAGGGUCUCCUAUAGAAGGUGGCGGGUCAUGUUGACCCAAGACGUAAUAUCAAAUCAAGGCACAAUACUGCAUCUGCAAAUUUUGCAGACUGUGCAUGUUAGUAGCCGAGAUAUAAGAUUAGAGAUAAAUCAGCACGAUAUCUCCUAUGAA
Long non-coding RNA from Rhodamnia argentea, 214 nucleotides. RefSeq lists it as uncharacterized. NCBI's taxonomy places the organism in Eukaryota, Viridiplantae, Streptophyta, Magnoliopsida, Myrtales, Myrtaceae. The record is from RefSeq and is a predicted model, not a curated record. The transcript is spliced from 2 exons.